GAGAAAAUACACUUGCAUUUUACUCUAUCUCUGGCACAGCCCACUUACAUUUUAUCUCUUGUCAUGCAUUUAAUGAUACUACCAAGUUGGAAAGUAAAGUCACGUUAAAGUCAGUGGUUUUAUGAAGUUUACAAGCUCAAACUCACAUGGACCCUGCACUGGAUUCGCACAUUCUUAGUUCCAAGUGUUGGUAUCAGACAUGAAACUCUUGACCACUCCCAUAGACAUUGCUCAACUUCUUACAUUUUGAUAUUAACAUAGAAAAAUUACAAGCACAUACUUAGAAAAAAAGCUCUCUGAUCCAUUCUUAUUGUUUGUUGUGUUAUUACCGCCUUGCCUUACAAAAUGUAGACGUCAUUAUUUACGUUUCCUUGCAUUUCUUGCCAAUCCUCCGCAACUGGGUCAUGAUAUAAUACAUAGUUAAUGUUUGUUCGGCUACUUCUGCUUUUUCAUGCUUAGCCCAUGUUGGUACUAAUCUUCGUGUAGUGGUUUGAAAUAAAUAGGUGAUAAAAGAAUAUAUAGAGAUACACCUACUAUACAACUUACCCCAGAUUUCCUGAGCUUGCAUCACUACAAUACAUAUCCAGCAGUUAUAUCAAUAAACUACAGGCUUUGCACUACUUUUAUAUUCUGACACAGCAACGGGAGGAAAAAUAGCCUGUUGUUGCAGAAAGUUACAAUGAUCUGGUUAUCAUUCUUGCUUGCAGUUCUAAUUCGAAAAUAUCUCAAAAGAAGUAAAAAAAAGACUAAUGUAUGGUAGGUCAUGCAUACUUACGCUCCGUUCGGAAUCCCUCCGCUCCGUAACUCCGCCGCGGAGCGGAGCGGCAUACAGUACAAAUACGGAGAGUGGCAAACAAGCUGCUCCGCGCGCUCCGCUCCCUGGUGACGGAGCGGUGGAUUGCCGAACACAGCCUUAGUGUUGGUUGCCUCCUUGUUGCAAACUAACUAAGCUAUAAUAUGUUCCUGUGGAACCCUUUGACAUGAGGGACGAGUGUGUGCCCUUUUCCACAAUAAUUCCUUUGUCAAGCACGGCGAUUAGGUCACAGUUUUGGAUCGUGCUGAGCCUGUGUGCCACAACCAAACUUGUCCUGCCGACCAGUACUCUCUCCAGUGCUUCAUGUACAACCUUUUCGGAUUGGCUGUCCAGUGCACUUGUAGCCUCGUCCAGUAGCAAUAUGGCUGGGUCCUUCAGGAUGGCACGGGCCACGGCAAUGCGUUGCUUCUGCCCUCCUGAGAGCUGAACACCUCUCUCGCCACACCAUGUGCCAUAUCCAUCCGCGAGGGUGCUGAUGAAGUCAUGUGCGUUGGCAGACCUUGCGGCAUUCUCAAUUUCUUCCUCACUUGCCGUUUCUGUGCCAUACACAAUGUUCUCUCUGAUUGUGCCUGCAAAUAGAGUUGGCUCCUGGCUGACCAGGCCAAUGUGCCGCCGCAGGGCUUGAAGAUUAUAUGUUUUGAUGUCCCUGCCAUCAAUUUUCACCAUUCCUCUUAGAGGGUCAUAGAAUCGCUCUAUAAGCGCAAUGAUGGUUGACUUGCCAGAGCCACUUUGCCCAACCAGUGCUGUUGACUUGCCUGGUUGGAUGCUUAAUGAGAAUCCUUUGAAGAUGAUUACAUCUGGCCUUGAAGGGUAUGCAAAGUCGAUUUCUCUGAUAUCCACCUCACCUUUGAGCUUCUCCGGCUUGUAUCCCUCAGGGUUGUCAGGGUCAAUUGCUGUUACCCGGUCAAGGAUAGCAAAGACUGAAGCGACUGCAUCAGCACCCUUAGCUAGGUCUGUUGUCAUGCUACCUGCAUCAGCAAUCACACGCCCUGUGCUUAUCAGAAUCAUGUAGGUCUGGAGGAGUUCGUUGGCGGCAAUGCGGCGCUCAGCCAUGAGCCUGCCACCAUACCAGAAGGCCAGGGCCCAUGUGCAUGUCAUCAGGCCCAUGGAAGUGCCAAGGCCAAGUCCAGCAAUCCAUGAUUGACGGAUGCUUUCCUUCCGCGGUCCAUUCUGUGCUUGGUUGAAGAGGCCUAAGAUGCGCUCCUGGGAUGAGAAGGCCGUGAUGGUACGGAGGUUUGAGACGGACUCGGCAGCUAGCUUGCUACUUUCGGAUUGUGCCUGUAUUGACUUCUUGGACAUGCUCUUCAGUAAGACACUGCGAGCAUAGAAGCAGACGAUGAUGAGAGGCUGCGCUGCUAUCAUGACAAGGGCAAGACGCCAGGCAAUGACCAGACCCAAGGUGCAAGCGAUAAGCACCGAAGAUACUGUCUGGGUCACCAGCGCCAUCCGGUCACCCACUAGAGACCUCACCUAUGCAAAAAAGAACAUAUUAUGCUAGGUUAGAUAGAUAAAUUUCCUUUCAUGUAUCAACAUGCUUAAUUUUCUUUUCUGGUACUUACAACGUUGGCAUCCUUGGCAAGCUGUGAGCAUAUGGCACCGCUGGAAUUCUCAUCGUGGUCGAACCAUCCGAUCUCGAAAGUGAGGAUUUUCCCGAGCAUCUGUUCCCUGACCCUCUUGGUGAGGUAUUCUCCCAUGGCACAGAAGUUGUAAUGUUGUCCAAUAUUGAGCAAGAAAGAGAGCACCGCAAGAGCGACGAAGGUUGGAUGCCUCCAUACACAACUGCACUCAAGCUUCCCAUAAGCGCCUGCCUCCACUCUGGUGCGUUAAGCAUGAGCAGGCUUCUGAACGAUGGCGGAUGAAGCUUUGGCACAUCAAUGCAGUCAGCACUACCCAUUGACCCGUCUGAGCUGGACCUGCUAGCCGAGGAGAAUCUCCUGCUGAUGUUGUGGCUGUUGGGCUGCCCCACAAUGGAAGUACUGCCAGCUCCACUAACCUCAUCAACCUCAUUUGAGUCUCUAGUCUGCUGAAGGCGAACAAGCGAUGAGUAGAGGCCAUUCUCAUCGGCAAUGAGCUCGUUGUGGGAGCCUAGCUCCUUGACCUCACCAUACUGCAUGACAGCAAUCAUGUCAGCAUUGCGGAUAGUGGAGAGGCGAUGGGCAACGACGAUAGUCGUCCGACCCAAGGAGGCCAGGUCGAGUGCCUCCUGUACGACACGCUCUGACUCUGUAUCCAGUGCACUGGUGGCUUCAUCAAGGAGGAGGAUCUUGGGUGACUUCAGGAUUGCUCUGGCUAUAGCAAUCCUCUGCUUCUGCCCUCCAGACAUUUGGACACCACGCUCACCCACCUGUUUUCAUUUCGUAUAUGGACGAAGCUCCACCAGGACGCACGAUGAGGAGGAGAUGACUUGGAAGCCUAGAUCUAUAAAGCCAAAACCCUCUCACUGGGAUGAUCAUCUACACCGCACAAAGGACCUUCUGCACUACGAAGAACCCUGCAUCGAAUUUCACGAGAUUGGAAGGGCUAGUGGUUCAGCUUGGAUGCCAUCUCCUAAGAAACAAGAAAGAAACCCUGAUGCUUUCCUUGGCUCCAUCCGCUUUCCAUCCAUGCUAUCCUGGAUGCUCCAACCAGAUGAUGAUGCCUCAAAUGCCACACGAGGUAGUGCCUGUCCAAGGUUUUGUGAUUUGGACUCUCAAUAAAGAUUCGCGGGCAGCGAGGCAAAAGCACAUGCAGCCAUGGAUUGGUGUAACAGCGAGAGGAUCCAACGAAGAAGGUUGGCCGUCAUCCGCCAAUAUUUGAGUAUGUUGUGCAGAUGCGGUCGCCAGAAUGCACGGCUACCGUGCCUCCGGCCUCAUGUGCUCCGUGGCUGCGACGUCCUUGUAUGCCCACUAAUUAUGGAAACAUGCUUGGACACAAAAACGUUGAUCACGAGACACUAUGCUUGGGCCUCUCGUUGAUCAAAGCUUCAAUUGAUGUCUCUAUUAUUUAUGCAACAUAGAACCAUCAAUGUAAUUUCUAGAUGUCAAUGAUUUUGCAACCGCGGAUGCAUUUUUUGUUCUGGCGAAGUUAGCUUUUGCGUUGUUUGGAUGUCACCAAGGCACCAUACUAUUAAUAGGAAUUCAUUCUCUCA
Triticum aestivum (bread wheat) is the source of this 3941-nucleotide RNA transcript. It is a transcript of the gene named probable 3-beta-hydroxysteroid-Delta(8),Delta(7)-isomerase, with no coding region annotated. The transcript is spliced from 4 exons. The record is from RefSeq and is a predicted model, not a curated record. NCBI's taxonomy places the organism in Eukaryota, Viridiplantae, Streptophyta, Magnoliopsida, Poales, Poaceae.